This 254-nucleotide ribosomal RNA is filed under the name uncultured bacterium. Its description in RNAcentral is "partial 16S ribosomal RNA". It matches the Rfam family "Bacterial small subunit ribosomal RNA", at positions 524 to 776 of the family's 1533-position model. The record is from RNAcentral.
UACGUAGGGGGCGAGCGUUGUCCGGAUUUAUUGGGCGUAAAGAGCUCGUAGGCGGUUUGGUAAGUUGGAUGUGAAAUCUCCAGGCUCAACUUGGAGGGGUCAUUCGAUACUGCCAUGACUAGAGUUCGGUAGGGGAGUGUGGAGUUCCUGGUGGAGCGGUGAAAUGCGCAGAUAUCAGGAGGAACACCCGUAGCGAAGGCGGCACUCUGGGCCGGAACUGACGCUGAGGAGCGAAAGCGUGGGGAGCGAACAGG